UCUCAGCAAUCAAGCCAAGGCCAAAACUUCCCACUCCAAGAUCGAGUAGCCAUCGUUACCGGCUCUUCUCGCGGCAUCGGCAAAGCCAUCGCUCUUCAUUUAGCAUCUAUGGGUGCUAAGCUCGUCAUCAACUAUUCCUCCAACUCCACAAAAGCCGACGACGUCAUAUCCCAAAUCAAUUCCACCUCCAAUUCCUCCCCGCGUGCUAUCGCCGUCAAAGCCGACAUCUCUGACCCAGAUCAAGUCAAAUCCCUCUUCGACGCUGCAGAAUCGGCUUUUCAAUCGCCGGUCAACAUACCCAUCAAUCACAAACACAACCUUGGAG
Molecule: long non-coding RNA, 325 nt
Filed under: Nicotiana benthamiana
Lineage: Eukaryota; Viridiplantae; Streptophyta; Magnoliopsida; Solanales; Solanaceae
Description: long non-coding RNA (NBEN_LNC030261)
Source: RNAcentral